RNAcentral lists this unclassified non-coding RNA (401 nucleotides) under Ditassa fasciculata. RNAcentral describes it as "partial external transcribed spacer". Lineage: Eukaryota; Viridiplantae; Streptophyta; Magnoliopsida; Gentianales; Apocynaceae. The record is from RNAcentral.
UGCUUCAGGCAGCGACGGCGCCCCUCUCCCGUGAGUCAUUAGUGUCGGCUCGAGUGCCGCACGGCCUCGGCCGAGACCCGGUUGGUUUCUUGUGCUGUGUACUCACGGAAGGGCAUCCUUCUCUAGUCCCAACUGUCCCUGUGUUCGUCAGUUGCUCCCCCUUUAGGGCAGGGCACGCGACGGAAUUUGUAGCCCAGUCCGUUACCCGCGUCGCCUCCAGCUGUAGCGGUGAAUGGGCACCGCCCGAGCUCUCAGAUGCGGAAAGCACCGGGGGGCGCCGACGACACGCGCCCGAGCAACGCACUCAAACCCCGACCCAACAGACGACCGUCGCUCCCGUCGCGGCCCGGCUGUGCGGGAAGGAUGUCAUCGAGGAAUGCUACUUGGUUGAUCCUGCCAGU